UGGAUAGCUCAGUUGGUUAGAGCAUGGUGCUGAUAACAUCAAGGUUGAGGGUUCGAUCCCCAUCUGGGACAG
Molecule: transfer RNA, 72 nt
Filed under: Podarcis lilfordi (Lilford's wall lizard)
Lineage: Eukaryota; Metazoa; Chordata; Lepidosauria; Squamata; Lacertidae
Description: tRNA.Ile
Rfam family: tRNA (bases 5-63)
About the family: Transfer RNA (tRNA) molecules are approximately 80 nucleotides in length.
Source: RNAcentral